CAGGUGGUGUCAUGGUUGUCGUCAGCUCGUGUCGUGAGAUGUUGGUUAAGUCCCGCAACGAGCGCAACCCUUACGAGUAGUUGCUACGCAAGAGCACUCUACUAGGACUGCCGUUGACAAAACGGAGGAAGGUGGGGAUGACGUCAAGUCAGCAUGGCCUUUAUGUCCUGGGCUACACACACGCUACAAUGGCCAGUACAAUUGGUAGCUAAGCCGCGAGGUGGAGCCAAUCCGUAAAAGCUGGCCUCAGUUCAGAUUGUAGGCUGCAACCCGCCUGCAUGAAGAUGGAGUUGCUAGUAACCGCAGGUCAGCAAUACUGCGGUGAAUACGUUCCCGGGUCUU
This 342-nucleotide ribosomal RNA is filed under the name uncultured Allobrachymonas sp. RNAcentral describes it as "bacterial SSU rRNA". It matches the Rfam family "Bacterial small subunit ribosomal RNA", at positions 1035 to 1382 of the family's 1533-position model. Lineage: Bacteria; Pseudomonadati; Pseudomonadota; Betaproteobacteria; Burkholderiales; Comamonadaceae. The record is from RNAcentral.